This 465-nucleotide ribosomal RNA is filed under the name uncultured Klebsiella sp. Its description in RNAcentral is "bacterial SSU rRNA". It matches the Rfam family "Bacterial small subunit ribosomal RNA", at positions 338 to 795 of the family's 1533-position model. Lineage: Bacteria; Pseudomonadati; Pseudomonadota; Gammaproteobacteria; Enterobacterales; Enterobacteriaceae. The record is from RNAcentral.
CCUACGGGCGGCUGCAGUGGGGAAUAUUGCGCAAUGGGCGCAAGCCUGAUGCAGCCAUGCCGCGUGUGUGAAGAAGGCCUUCGGGUUGUAAAGCACUUUCGGCGGGGAGGAAGGCGUUAAGGUUAAUAACCUUGUCGAUUGACGUUACCCGCAGAAGAAGCACCGGCUAACUCCGUGCCAGCAGCCGCGGUAAUACGGAGGGUGCAAGCGUUAAUCGGAAUUACUGGGCGUAAAGCGCACGCAGGCGGUCUGUCAAGUCGGAUGUGAAAUCCCCGGGCUCAACCUGGGAACUGCAUUCGAAACUGGCAGGCUAGAGUCUUGUAGAGGGGGGUAGAACUCCAGGUGUAGCGGUGAAAUGCGUAGAGAUCUGGAGGAAUACCGGUGGCGAAGGCGGCCCCCUGGACAAAGACUGACGCUCAGGUGCGAAAGCGUGGGGAGCAAACAGGAUUAGAUACCCCUGUAGUC